Molecule: long non-coding RNA, 1264 nt
Filed under: Olea europaea subsp. europaea
Lineage: Eukaryota; Viridiplantae; Streptophyta; Magnoliopsida; Lamiales; Oleaceae
Source: RNAcentral
UAUAAAUUCUAUUGAUCAAAACUCAUAUACAAGUACACCAGACAUUCCUGGGUAAACAUAGAUCAAGUGACGAUUACAAUUACUCCGGACAUACUCGAGUUAACACAAUGAAAAGAUGUACAGACGAUAAAAGCUAAGGACACCAAGCUAAGGACUCAAAAUGAAUUAAAACAUGUGGAUACAAAGUAAACACAGCUUUGUAUAAAUGCGUUUUAAUUCGUCUUGCAAUGUAAUCCACUUGUGGCCUAAGAUUCAAAAAUCUACCUAUUCCUCGCAAUCCAGAUAUAGUCGAUGGAAGUAGCAAGUGCAAUUCAUUUAACUUUGCUUUCCUUUCCCAAGUUGUUCCCUGGGCUUUCUUUUUAAUCCAUUUCAAUGCACUUGGUAAGUAGACAUAGUGCGUCUAAAGGCCAACCAUCUACGAAUUUGUCCCCAAAUAGAACUACUGAAUGAACUAGAGAAAAAUAAGUUUUGUGCUAUGUUGUUUCCUCCAUUUCUCCACAAAAUGAACAUAUUAGGUCUAAUUUCAAGUGCUGAAUUUUAUCUUUAGUUAGUAAUUUGGACUUAACACCUAAUCAAAGAAUGAAAGCAUGCUUGGGUAUGAUGGAUGUAUUCCAAACCGUAUCUGCCCAUACUGCCCUUGCAUCCCUUGGCCUUAAAAAAUCAUAGGCAGCCAUAAUACUGAAACUUUUUGCCUCCAUCCAGUCCCACAACCUGUCUACACUAGCCUGAAAUGUGCAUUCAGGCCCCAUGAUUGGUCCCUGAUUUCCAGCACUUUUUUUACUAAAGGAGAAUCAUUUUUUUUUUUUUUUGCCAUGUACUCCCAAAUGUUCAUCCACGAAGAUAUAACUGAUUGACCCAUUUUAUCCAAAGGGUAUCUUUUUGCUAUGGAUGUUCAAUGGAGUUUUCGAAAGUAGCACACAAUUCCAUCUUUUAAUAUCUCUAAAACCAAGUCCUCCUUCAUACUUUAGUAGGCAAAUUUUGCUUCAAGAAACCAAUGGCUUUUUGACUCCCCAUAGGAAGUUCCGGCAUAAGCUAGUGAUUUUGGAGGCAACUGUAGUUGGAAUGGGAAAAUUGGACAAUGAAAAUCAUUCCACACCUUGAAGAAAGGUUCUCACAAGUUUCGCAAUCCCUGCAUUAGAUAGUGAAACACUAGACUAUACACCAACGUAUGAUGAGAUUUUUUGGAUGAAAACAUCAUAGGAGCUAAUUUUCAAUUUUUUCACCGCAAGUAGGAUCCUCAAUUAGCGAAAUGGCAUGGAACCCU